Molecule: ribosomal RNA, 433 nt
Filed under: uncultured bacterium
Lineage: Bacteria
Description: partial 16S ribosomal RNA
Rfam family: Bacterial small subunit ribosomal RNA
Source: RNAcentral
AGCGAACGCUGGCGGCAGGCCUAACACAUGCAAGUCGAACGAACUCUUCGGAGUUAGUGGCGGACGGGUGAGUAACACGUGGGAACGUGCCUUUAGGUUCGGAAUAACUCAGGGAAACUUGUGCUAAUACCGAAUGUGCCCUUCGGGGGAAAGAUUUAUCGCCUUUAGAGCGGCCCGCGUCUGAUUAGCUAGUUGGUGAGGUAAAGGCUCACCAAGGCGACGAUCAGUAGCUGGUCUGAGAGGAUGAGCAGCCACAGUGGGACUGAGACACGGCCCAAACUCCUACGGGAGGCAGCAGUGGGGAAUCUUGCGCAAUGGGCGAAAGCCUGACGCAGCCAUGCCGCGUGAAUGAUGAAGGUCUUAGGAUUGUAAAAUUCUUUCACCGGGGACGAUAAUGACGGUACCCGGAGAAGAAGCCCCGGCUAACUUCGUG